GAUGAACGCUGGCGGCGUGCCUAAUACAUGCAAGUCGAGCGAACAGACGAGGCGCUUACUCCUCUGACGUUAGCGGCGGACGUGUGAGUAACACGUGUAUAACCUCCCUAUAAGACUGGGAUCACUUCGGGAAACCGGAGCUAAUACCGGAUAACAUGUUGAACCGCAUGGUUCAACAGUGAAAGACGGCCUUGCUGUCACUUCUAGAUGGAUCCGCGUCGCAUGAGCUAGUUGGUAAGGUAACGGCUUACCACGGCAACGAUGCGUAGCCGACCGGAGAGGGUGAUCGGCCACACGGGAACGGAGACACGGUCCAGACUCCUACGGGAGGCAGCAGUAGGGAAUCGGCCGCAAUGGGCGAAAGCCUGACGGAGCAACGCCGCGUGAGUGAAGAAGGUCUUCGGAUCGUAAAACUCUGUUAUUAGGGAAGAACAAAUGUGUAAGUAAACAUGCACGUCUUGACGGUACCUAAUCAGAAAGCCACGGCUAACUACGUG
This 497-nucleotide ribosomal RNA is filed under the name uncultured bacterium. RNAcentral's name for it is "partial 16S ribosomal RNA". It matches the Rfam family "Bacterial small subunit ribosomal RNA", at positions 28 to 507 of the family's 1533-position model. The record is from RNAcentral.